This 498-nucleotide ribosomal RNA is filed under the name uncultured bacterium. RNAcentral describes it as "partial 16S ribosomal RNA". It matches the Rfam family "Bacterial small subunit ribosomal RNA", at positions 30 to 523 of the family's 1533-position model. The record is from RNAcentral.
AUUGAACGCUGGCGGCAUGCCUUACACAUGCAAGUCGAACGGUAACAGGUCUUCGGAUGCUGACGAGUGGCGAACGGGUGAGUAAUACAUCGGAACGUGCCCGAUCGUGGGGGAUAACGAAGCGAAAGCUUUGCUAAUACCGCAUAAGAUCUAAGGAUGAAAGCAGGGGACCGCAAGGCCUUGCGCGAACGGAGCGGCCGAUGGCAGAUUAGGUAGUUGGUGGGAUAAAAGCUUACCAAGCCGACGAUCUGUAGCUGGUCUGAGAGGACGACCAGCCACACUGGGACUUAGACACGGCCCAGACCCCUACGGGAGGCAGCAGUGGGGAAUUUUGGUCAAUGGGCGCAAGCCUGAUCCAGCCGUGCCGCGUGCAGGAUGAAGGCCUUCGGGUUGUAAACUGCUUUUGUACGGAACGAAAAGACUCUGGUUAAUACCUGGGGUUCAUGACGGUACCGUAAGAAUAAGCACCGGCUAACUACGUGCCAGCCGCCGCCGUAA